GCUGGGUGUGGCGGUGUUUGCCUAUAAUCCCAGCUAUUGGAAACCUGAGGCUGGAAGAUUGCUUGAGUCAGGAGUUCUGGACUGUAGUGCACUAUGCUCAUUGGGUGUCUGCACUAAGUUCGGCAUCAAUAUGAUGACGUCCUGGGAGCAGGGGACUACUGAAUUGCCGAAAAAGGAGUGAAAUUGCCUAGUCAGAAAUAGAACAGGUCAAAAUUCCUGUGCUUAUCAGUAGUGGGAUUGCACCUGCGAAUAGCCACUGCACUCCAGCCUGGGCAACAUAGGAAGACCCUGUGUCU
This 296-nucleotide signal recognition particle RNA is filed under the name Microcebus murinus (gray mouse lemur). Its description in RNAcentral is "Metazoan signal recognition particle RNA (ENSMICG00000035409.2)". It matches the Rfam family "Metazoan signal recognition particle RNA". From Rfam's summary of the family: The signal recognition particle (SRP) is a universally conserved ribonucleoprotein. The record is from RNAcentral. Lineage: Eukaryota; Metazoa; Chordata; Mammalia; Primates; Cheirogaleidae.